RNAcentral lists this ribosomal RNA (994 nucleotides) under Pristimantis amaguanae. RNAcentral describes it as "partial large subunit ribosomal RNA". The record is from RNAcentral. Lineage: Eukaryota; Metazoa; Chordata; Amphibia; Anura; Strabomantidae.
GCCGCCCUCCCCUCCUCCCCUCCCUCCAAACUUUAACUAAAAUAUUCUCACAGUUUAGUAAAGAAGAUUAAAAAACUAACCAACCCUCCCCGAGCUAUAAAUUUGUACCGCAAGGGAAAGAUGAAAUAAAAUGAAAUAACCUUAAGCACAAAAAAGUAGAGACUCACCCUCGUACCUUUCGCAUCAUGAUUUAGCUAGUCUAAUUGAGCAAAAAGACCUUAAGUCCAACCCCCCGAAACUAAGUGAGCUAUUUUAGGGCCGCUUAAUGAGCCCACCCGUCUAUGUCGCAACAUAGUGGGAAGACCCUAAAAUAGAGGUGAUAGGCCUAACGAACUUAGUGAUAGCUGGUUUCUCAAGAAAAGAAUUUAGUUCAACACAAAAUAAUUAUUACAAUCCCAAGUUUCCCCCCCCAUUUUGAAGCAAUUCAAAUGAGGUACAGCCCAUUUGACACAGGACACAACCUUUACUAAUGGGUAACAUCAAAGUACACUUAAAAGUAGGCCUAAAAGCAGCCAUCUUAAAAAGCGUCAAAGCUUAAUUUGUAUACUCACCAAUUUAUUAAACCCCACAGACCCCUUUAAUAGUAUUGAGAACCUCUAUAACCUUAUAGAGUCUUUUCUGCUAAAACUAGUAACAAGAGGUCACCCCUCUCUUUAAUGCAAACACAACCCAGCAAGAACCCAUCACUGGCAACCAACAGAAUUAUGUAGCAACCCUGCUAGAAAACCCUACACCCACCACCCCGUUAACCUAACACAAGAGCAUUUCAAGAAAGAUUAAAAGAAAAAGAAGGAAUUCCGCAAACAAUAGUCCCGCCUGUUUACCAAAAACACCGCCUCUUGACCACAUAAGAGGUCCAGCCUGCCCAGUGACUCUGUUCAACGGCCGCGGUAUCCUAACCGCGCGAAGGUAGCGUAAUCACUUGUUUUCUAAAUAAAGACUAGUAUGAAAGGCAUCACGAGGUCUAAACUGUCUCCUCUCUCUAAUCAGUAAU